GACGAACGCUGGCGGCGUGCGUAAUACAUGCAAGUCGAGCGCGGGAAGCAAGCAGAUCUUCUUCGGGAGUGACGCUUGUGGAACGAGCGGCGGACGGGUGAGUAACACGUAGGCAACCUGCCUGUAAGUUUGGGAUAACUCCGGGAAACCGGGGCUAAUACCGAAUAGGCAUCAUAUGCGCAUGCAUGUGAUGUAAAAGACGGGAUACUGUCGCUUACAGAUGGGCCUGCGGCGCAUUAGCUAGUUGGUGAGGUAACGGCUCACCAAGGCAACGAUGCGUAGCCGACCUGAGAGGGUGACCGGCCACACUGGGACUGAGACACGGCCCAGACUCCUACGGGAGGCAGCAGUAGGGAAUCUUCCGCAAUGGACGCAAGUCUGACGGAGCAACGCCGCGUGAGCGAUGAAGGUCUUCGGAUCGUAAAGCUCUGUUGUGAGGGAAGAACGGGUAUAGGAGUAACUGUCUAUACAUUGACGGUACCUCACCAGAAAGCCCCGGCUAACUACGUG
RNAcentral lists this ribosomal RNA (510 nucleotides) under uncultured bacterium. Its description in RNAcentral is "bacterial SSU rRNA". It matches the Rfam family "Bacterial small subunit ribosomal RNA", at positions 28 to 507 of the family's 1533-position model. The record is from RNAcentral.